Gasterosteus aculeatus aculeatus (three-spined stickleback) is the source of this 3561-nucleotide long non-coding RNA. NCBI's taxonomy places the organism in Eukaryota, Metazoa, Chordata, Actinopteri, Perciformes, Gasterosteidae. The record is from Ensembl.
CCUGUGCAUGACGCUUACGUCCCACUGCCUCCUCCUCCGCGCCGCUUGUCUCACACCUGCGGAGCCGCAUCACCUGAAGGAAGCUCCUUCUGUCCCAAUGAGAGCGCAGCGAUGUGCAGGACGGAGGGACAACUGUGGCUGUGCAGACUGUGCCGAAAUCCUGAAGGAGGCUACGCUCAGGGGCGGGGCUACGCUGUGAUUGACAGGUGGCUACCACGGCGUCAUGUGUUUCGCAGAAUGUUAGAUAGUUGGAUAAGAAACAUUAUGCAAAGAUGGGUUGUGUCAUGUGAUCACUUCCAGUCCAGCUGUAAAACUUUGUAAAACUUUGACUCAUCGUCUCACCUUUUAAGAUAUUUAGCGAGACUUGCUGACUGAUUGUGGAGACUGUACACGCUGUGCAAAGUGUACUAUGUGCUCUCGGGUGAAUUCUCUUCCUAGAAGAAAUUACAGAGUAAGAAAACAUUGGUGAGUGUCAAAAUAACUGCCCAGGUGGAAGUUUUGUUCAGAACAGUUGGUGAAGGAGGCUUGACGUCCCCUGCAGGCUCUACCUGUUGUUCAAUAUAACAAUAUCAGACUCGUGGAUCUGCGAGGUGAGUCCUCGGCGCACUGGAAAUAUUCACAAUGCAGGUGUGGAAAUAUCUUGGUUACACACAAACAUACUGUGUAGAAAUCAAACUGUGGAAUCUGGUGCAAGCGAAUACUGAAAAAAGCCAAAGAGAAACAUGGACCUCGAGAGAAGAAAGUCAGUGGCCAAAAGCAUCGACGAGGAGUCAUUUCCAUUCAGGCACCGGCCCAAAAAUAAUAACAGUAACUCAGUGCAGACUAACAGGGAAGCCCCGACUCAGCAGCAACAAACAUCUGCAUCGAUGUCAAACCAUCGACUAUGGGAGAGAUUAUGAAAACGUGUGUUUUGUUGGUAUAAAUGUGCCCCUGAUGUCAAAUGACAUGGCAGUGAAUCGUCUUUAUUUCCUCUCAGGAGGUGCAUCCACAAGCGAGCAGCAAAGUACAAACCGCUCCAGCAGCUUGUGGAGUUACAGGAUACAAGUCAAAAUACUUCAGUUCCCAGAAGCAUUAAAGACGGAUUCAGCAGAUGGAAUCAGAGUGACACUUUAUUUUAUUUUAUUCAGCAGGAGGAAAAAAAAAUAAAAAAAUCAUUCAGAACUCGUGUUGCUCGUAAGGACAUUUAGCAAAACCCCGAAUUACUGCAUGUUAACAGCCUUUAGAUCAGCUCGCUACUACUGGGGCGCGCACACACACACACGCACGCACACACACACACACACACACACUUAAGGGGGAUUGACUGGAGCCAGCUGAGAAAGUAGCAGCCAUCAUUACCUUGUCUGAUGUGAACCACGAGGGCCGCAGCAAUCAUCACCCUUUAAACACAACGUUUCCUAUUUCUCAGUGCAAACACACACACACACACACACACACACACACACACACGGACACACACUCCAUUGCUGCCGGUGGAUAAAUUACAGGGCAGCGAGUGCACAGCGGCACAGCCGUCCGAGGAGGAAAACGAAGAGGCUUAGCUGGAAGGAUGACGGACGACGGCGAGAGGAGACAAAGCCGAGUACUUCAUAAAGCAGCCGCGCGAUCGGGAGGGACGCCGCUUUUCCGUUGGCUUGUUUCCCCGUCGCAAAGGAGACGAGGCGGCUGCUUGCGGGGCGGAAAGAGGUGGAGGGACCUAGUUUCUACGUGAAGGAGGUCGUGCUAUUUUUGCACCGCCGACCGCCGCGUGCCAGCGACGAGACGACUAAUCUGCCCGCGUGGACUUGAGGAUGAUCACUUUAGAAUUACACGAUGCCUUUGUUAACCAAUUAGAAAUCCGGGAUUAACUGUUGCCAUUACUGGGAGGGGGGGGGGGGACUUUUUGUUUGCUUUGUUGCAGCAAAACUCACAACAAACAGAGAUGUGCAGCCCAUUUAUAUUUCAGCAGCGUGCGUCUUCCUCCUCCUCCUCCUCCUCCUGCAUCUCUUGGCGGAUUUACGGACUUGUCUUUUGUAUCUUAAGCACACGAGGGAGGAAGGGGGAGGAAGGGGGGGUAAAGAAACUCGUGGCUUAAUUAGAGAUACUCUGGCUGUGUGAACGCUGCACGACCCAAAAGCCUGCGAGGCCGCUGCAGCUCCGUUCAAGAGGGGAAAACGAGCUCGACAAGCCCGGCGCACAACAAACCACAUUUAGCGCCCAUUGGAACGCUGCACGCAACCACGCCGCGAAUCAGCGGGUUCCCAAACGCACCAGCACGCCCGCCCGCCCGCCUGCACGUCCACGCUUUUUAAAUACGAUCGGACUGCAAACGGGGUAAACGCGCGAUGAGCGUCGCGCUAGACGCGUAGAUGUGUAUUUAUGUACACACACACACACACACACACAUCAGUGUCCCUCUUACGCCCGGGCAUCAAAGAGAGCACAGCUGUGUCAUUGGACGAACCCUUUAAUCCACUCAGCCGGCGCAUCUGUGUGCUCUGUGCGCGUGUGUGUGUGUGUGUGUGUGUGACGACGUAAGGGGGAGACGGGGGGGGGGAGGAGGCUGUUUUUAUGCCUGAUGUUGCGUUCGGGUCGCUGGCUCGACGUCACAUGUCAGAAAAGCUCAUCUGUGCGAUGGUGAAGUUUCCAAGCUGCUGAAUUUGGGUCGAAUGGGGUCAACAGGAGAUCCCCAUCAGGAUCCCCUCCCAGGACACAAGCGCUCAUACUGUUCAGACACAGUCAAACACGUCUGCGGAGACAAGGAACGCACGGCAGGAAUCCAGAGUACCGAAUUGAGUCUUUGGUUUUUGUUUUUUUGGGACAAACCCAACGAGCGAGGAUCGAUUGGAUCGAGUCGCCUCGUGUAAAUCAUUGUCAGCCGUCCGCGUCCAAUCGGAGACUCGUCUUUACUUUGUAAUUAGCUGAGAAACAGGACGCCAUUUGUCUCGUGAAAGGCUGAGGCCAAUGAGGGUCCGAGCGCUCGACGGUCAACGGGGUGAUUUAUAAUCUGACCUUAACGUUACAUUGGGGCGCGUUGGUGAUAUUGAAUCCUUGCUAAAUCGCUGCUAAUCAUGACGCAGUAACAACCAUAGCGGCUUUGUUGACCUUUCUAAGACCAGAAAUGUAAACGCAUAGAUGUUGAUGCUGCACACAUUAGCAUGUUGGGCUAACAAGCUACAAGCAGAGUGACCCAGCGUUACUGGAUGACAUCAUUAACCUGUCGACUCCUUCGUCUCAAAUGAGACAUUAUUCAUGGUCAUAAAUCGUGAACUGGCGUCACACAUGUGAAGCGAUAAAGAUUUACGAGCUCCGCAGAGCGAUUUACCCAAAGUGCCUCGUCCAUUAAUCAGCAGAUUGUGUAAAAGCAUCAAAAAGAUCAUAAAAUCGCACCGAGUUGAUCUGAAGACCGACAAAGCGGAGAGAACGAACACAUUACGAGAUGUAACGUCGCCGGCGUCACAAUUCACUGCAACAUCAGCGUCGGCGUGCUGAAGCAGGUGAUUCGUAUGUAGAGGGAAGUGUGUUUGUGGCGUUUUGCGUCCAGCCUUCUCGUGGUUGACUCGACCAACGCUCACAUUACAC